Long non-coding RNA from Megalobrama amblycephala (Wuchang bream), 237 nucleotides. RefSeq lists it as uncharacterized. The transcript has 3 exons. Lineage: Eukaryota; Metazoa; Chordata; Actinopteri; Cypriniformes; Xenocyprididae. The record is from RefSeq and is a predicted model, not a curated record.
CUGACAUCCAUGCAGCACUGAGAGAACUGACCGCCACCGUUUCAGAGCAGAAAGAAAACAUCAGAGCUUUAGAGAUGCAACUGUGGGAACAACAGACGUUUAUCCUGGAAGAGCUGAGCAAGAAAAAUGAUGAAAUUUCAAAUCUUACUCAGAGUCAAGUGGAUUUGAGAAAGGAAAAUAGAGAAAUGUCAGAUCUUACUCUGAGUCAAGUGCGGGAGUUGAGAAAGGAAAAUAGAG